Molecule: ribosomal RNA, 1026 nt
Filed under: Triticum aestivum (bread wheat)
Lineage: Eukaryota; Viridiplantae; Streptophyta; Magnoliopsida; Poales; Poaceae
Description: partial small subunit ribosomal RNA
Source: RNAcentral
AUGUUCGUGUGCAUCGGAUGCGGAGGGCCACACCAUCUCCGCGUCCCGGAGGAGUUCGCCGCCGGCCGCUUCUUCGGCUCCUACCCGCCUGGGUGGGUGUUCUUGGCCGGCGCGCAGGCCUCCAACCACGCGCUCAUCAAUCUCUACACCAGGACUCGUCUUCUCAUCCCCGACUUCCUCACCAUGACCGGAGAUGCUACGCGUCAGCCUCGACAGAUGGUGAUGGUGGCGGCGGCGCUCUCUGCCGAGCCUCUCGCUCCCGGCAAGGCCUGCUUCGGUGCCGCCAUCGUCCACGGGCUCGGCGGCGCGCCAGUGUUUGCUCUUUGGGCACUCGUCCGCGCAGCGCGCCACGAGCGACCGGUGGCGCACGGGUUCCACGUCACCGUCGGCGAGGGAGCCGGAGCCGGACAUCAGCAGCUGUUUCUCGAGGACGUCGCUUAUCACCGUGGCGCGUUCUACUUUCUGACGAGCCAGGAGCAGCUGGUGGCCGUGCACGUCGUGGAGGGCAGCGGGCGGCUGUUAGCUCGGCAGCAGCUGAUCGAGCACCGCCGGCCGGCCAAUCCGCAAGGUUUGCUGGUGUCCGGCAGGUAUCUACUCGCAUCCCGUGGGGGUUGGGCAAUGGUGGUGCGUUACCAUUGGCCCCCUCUUCCCGACGACCGUGAGCCAGGACCGGCGAGGCGGCUCACAAUGUACCGCGGCGACAUUCAUGACGGCGAGGCAUUUACCACAUGGACGGAGCUGCACCCCGAGUCCCUGCAAGGCCUCCUGGUGUUUGCAGCCAGGGGGUGCUCCAGGUUAAUUGAAGAUCCUUCUGGCCUCCACAAUCUCCCAGCGGGCGUUCAUUACCUGGAUGAUCGUGAUGCUGGAGACAUGGAUAUGAUCUACCAGGAAAAUCCGAACCUUCGAAAGUACCGGUGCAGCGACACGUGUGGGUUUGGAUGGCCGCCAGCUGCGAUCCAUUUCUACGCGACCUGGGUGAACUACCCACCGUCUUCCUAUUCUUCGCCAAUCUGGUUCUUUCCGUAG